UCAGAUGAAGAUAAACCGUACUGAAAACCGACACAGGUGGUCAGGUAGAGAAUACUCAGGCGCUUGAGAGAACUCGGGUGAAGGAACUAGGCAAAAUAGCACCGUAACUUCGGGAGAAGGUGCGCUGGCGUAGGUUGUAGGAGUAUACCUCCGAAGGCUGAACCAGUCGAAGAUACCAGCUGGCUGCAACUGUUUAUUAAAAACACAGCACUCUGCAAACACGAAAGUGGACGUAUAGGGUGUGAUGCCUGCCCGGUGCUGGAAGGUUAAUUGAUGGUGUAAUCGAAAGAGAAGCUCCUGAUCGAAGCCCCAGUAAACGGCGGCCGUAACUAUAACGGUCCUAAGGUAGCGAAAUUCCUUGUCGGGUAAGUUCCGACCUGCACGAAUGGCAUAAUGAUGGCCAGGCUGUCUCCACCCGAGACUCAGUGAAAUUGAAAUCGCCGUGAAGAUGCGGUGUACCCGCGGCUAGACGGAAAGACCCCGUGAACCUUUACUAUAGCUUGACACUGAACAUUGAAUUUUGAUGUGUAGGAUAGGUGGGAGCCUAAGAAGCAGUCACGCCAGUGAUUGUGGAGGCGUCCUUGAAAUACCACCCUUUAACGUUUGAUGUUCUAACGAAGAUUGCGAAACGCGGUCUCGGACAGUGUCUGGUGGGUAGUUUGACUGGGGCGGUCUCCUCCCAAAGAGUAACGGAGGAGCACGAAGGUUUGCUAAUCACGGUCGGACAUCGUGAGGUUAGUGCAAUGGUAUAAGCAAGCUUAACUGCGAGACAGACAAGUCAAGCAGGUGCGAAAGCAGGUCAUAGUGAUCCGGUGGUUCUGAAUGGAAGGGCCAUCGCUCAACGGAUAAAAGGUACUCCGGGGAUAACAGGCUGAUACCGCCCAAGAGUUCAUAUCGACGGCGGUGUUUGGCACCUCGAUGUCGGCUCAUCACAUCCUGGGGCUGAAGUAGGUCCCAAGGGUAUGGCUGUUCGCCAUUUAAAGUGGUACGCGAGCUGGGUUUAGAACGUCGUGAGACAGUUCGGUCCCUAUCUGCCGUGGGCGUUGGAGAAUUGAGAGGGGCUGCUCCUAGUACGAGAGGACCGGAGUGGACGCAUCACUGGUGUGCCAGUUGUCUCGCCAGAGGCACUGCUGGGUAGCUAAAUGCGGAAGAGAUAAGUGCUGAAAGCAUCUAAGCACGAAACUCGCCUUAAGAUGAGUUCUCCCACACAAUAAGUGUGUAAGGGUUGUUGGAGACGACGACGUAGAUAGGUCUGGUGUGUAAGCGGUGUGAGCCGUUGAGCUAACAGAUACUAAUUGCCCGAGAGGCUUAACUAU
RNAcentral lists this ribosomal RNA (1316 nucleotides) under Glaesserella parasuis. RNAcentral's name for it is "partial 23S ribosomal RNA". It matches the Rfam family "Bacterial large subunit ribosomal RNA", at positions 1627 to 2925 of the family's 2925-position model. Lineage: Bacteria; Pseudomonadati; Pseudomonadota; Gammaproteobacteria; Pasteurellales; Pasteurellaceae. The record is from RNAcentral.